Apus apus (common swift) is the source of this 2327-nucleotide long non-coding RNA. RefSeq lists it as uncharacterized. The record is from RefSeq and is a predicted model, not a curated record. NCBI's taxonomy places the organism in Eukaryota, Metazoa, Chordata, Aves, Apodiformes, Apodidae. The transcript is spliced from 4 exons.
UUUUUUUGGUCCUGAUUCAGCAGGUUCAUGAGGGUCACACAAUUCACAGCACAAAGCACUGGCCUGACCUGCAGAGCCACGGAGCUGCAGGAAAGCCUUUGAUCUCUGCUGUGCCUGCCAGUUGGCCACUGCUGGGCCAGAAAUGCCUCUGCUGUUAGUGGGGAAUGGGAAUGUGAUAAAGAGGGAUUUCAGGACAUGCUCUGUGCAGAGCCUCAGCUUUCCUCUGCCUCCAGAAACCUUUGUGGCUCUGGAACCAGCUGUAUGGCAAAGCUUUCCGUAGCCACCUCCUUCCUCCAGACAUCCUACUUCUCCAUACACCACAUGAAGAAAGAAGCAAAACCAAGCCCAAAGACCCUCAGUCAAGUUGUAUUCAAACUGCUGCAGCCACAAAACGUUUCCUGGAGCUGUAUGGACAGAAUAAGGAGACACCCAUAAUUCACAUGGCUGGUGCCCUAGGGUGCCUCAGCUGCCAGCAGUGACAGUGGUGGCCAUGUCCUCCCAGUAUUGCCCAGGAUGGGGUCAGCUUGCAAGGAUGGCCACCGUGCAGUCAGCCUGCAGCAAGGAAAAUAGGCAGCAGCCUGAUUUCUGAGGUCUUGCAGAGAGCUGGCUACUUGGAAAUGGGAACUAGACCUGAUAACCCUGGACUUACUGAAGCUGCAUGCAAGUUCAUACAGACACUGCUGCUGUCCUCACCACAAGGUUCAGCAGCUUGUCAGUAGAGGCUGUGAAGGGAAAGAGAAUUGCAGCUCAACUGGAGGUGAUCAGUUCCUGACCACCUUGUGUGCUAACUCCUGCUGAGUAACGAUCCUGUUUUCUGGUUCCUUCAUCACAACAAGCACAUCAGACUCUUCACGUUGAGCACCUGCUGCUGUUCUUCAGGGAACAUUUCUUCAUAUUGGGCCGUAUUCCGUUAAAGAGACACAAAGCAGCUUGCCUAGCUGGAACCACCAAGGGGAAUGCACCAUCAGCUGAGCAGAUCCACCUCCUGAGGGCAGGCAGGAGACCAAGGUGGGACUGGUGCUGCAGGAGAGACUUGUUUGGCUCAGGCAGAGAUCUUGGGAUGUUCUGUCGUGCGCUGUUGUGUCUGCAUGUUUUAUUGGCCCAGAACUGCAAUAUCUCAUUGUUAAUGCUCAGAUUGCUCCACUCCCAUGUAGGAUUUUGUUGUCACAGCUGACCAACUUAAUGCUCUGCUCAGCAUUCCUUCUAUAACUAAAACCACUACCAGCUUGGCCUGCAAGCCUGAGUUUGGAGGGAGUGCAGCCUCAGUACUGAUGGCAUGGGGACUGCAGCUGCAUUCAUUUGCUCUGGUUCUAGUUUCUGAUAUUGCAGGGAGAUUCUCCCCUUUUCCAGGCUUCGAGCUGCCUGGGCAUUUUCUCAGCAUUUGUUCCUGCUCUGCCAGAAGUGCAAACCGAGUUUCAAGCAAGCCUCACUUCUCUUUACAUCUGUACAUCAUGAUGUUACCUACUGUUCUACUGCUCGUGUUCAGCUCCUGUGACACUGAUCGUUGUGCACAAGGCUUCUUAGCUGGAAAAAGUUUGGAGCAUGUCAGUAACCAGCUGCUUCACUAGGUUAUUUUUCUGGACAGGUGGUGCCCUGCAUUUUAAGGUUGCCUUGAGAUGCAGCAUGGAACUGGCAGCAGAAAAAUGGAGCCCAGGCAGUGGCUGGUUGGAGCUCAUCUCGGGUUCCCACUGCCUCAUGCCUCCUUCACAGUCCCUGAAGGUCUGUGCUUCCAGUGGAGGAGGUGGCACCCCAUCCCUGACAGUUCCAUCAGCUGGUCCUUUUGAUUCAGUCUGAGCUGGUGGGAAUAGCUGACCAGAGCCUGCCUCUGGGAUCUGCUUAGGACGUAACCCUUGAUUAAUGCAAACCCAAGCACCCCUGUGAAGAAAGGUUUAGAAUUCUGCCUUGUCUUCUUGAGCCAAACACCAGCUGGUGUUGGAGCGUCUGCCCAGCAUCCAUGGCACUGCUCAGCAGGGCUCAGAAACAAACCUCCUGCUAACUCCAACUCCCCAAGCUCUGAGGGGGACUCUGCUUUGGAAGUUGCAGGAUGGAGCAAAGAGUAGGACAGGCUGGAUAAGCCAUGUAAUCCCUGGGGACGUUCCUCUGCAGCAGAGUGAAUUUUGCUGUACAAAUUUUUCAGCUUUACUUGCUCUUGCAUUUUGGGGAGUCCUGUUCUCUUUUUUCUUUUUUUCUAUUUUUGUGCAAUUACUUUAGAGAUUCCUGCUGGCUUUAUGCAGAAUUUUGAAAGGAAACAAUACAUUUACUUCUGGAAGCUGAUGGUUCUUUGUAAUGGAACUGAUUUCUUGAAAUAAAACCAAUUUUCUGUUUCA